GACGAACGCUGGCGGCGUGCUUAACACAUGCAAGUCGAACGGAAAGGCCCUGCUUUUGUGGGGUGCUCGAGUGGCGAACGGGUGAGUAACACGUGAGUAACCUGCCCUUGACUUUGGGAUAACUUCAGGAAACUGGGGCUAAUACCGGAUAGGAGCUCCUGCUGCAUGGUGGGGGUUGGAAAGUUUCGGCGGUUGGGGAUGGACUCGCGGCUUAUCAGCUUGUUGGUGGGGUAGUGGCUUACCAAGGCUUUGACGGGUAGCCGGCCUGAGAGGGUGACCGGCCACAUUGGGACUGAGAUACGGCCCAGACUCCUACGGGAGGCAGCAGUGGGGAAUAUUGCACAAUGGGCGGAAGCCUGAUGCAGCAACGCCGCGUGCGGAUGACGGCCUUCGGGUUGUAAACCGCUUUCGCCUGUGACGAAGCGUGAGUGACGGUAAUGGGGAAAGAAGCACCGGCUAACUACGU
RNAcentral lists this ribosomal RNA (466 nucleotides) under uncultured bacterium. RNAcentral's name for it is "partial 16S ribosomal RNA". It matches the Rfam family "Bacterial small subunit ribosomal RNA", at positions 28 to 506 of the family's 1533-position model. The record is from RNAcentral.